UUUUUGGAACAGGGGUUUAAGUUAUAACUCCAAGUAUCCUGUGGGUCUGAGUGCAGCCUGGAGUCCUCCUCCUCAGGGAGGUGGGUGUUAGCAUCUAACCCCCUAACUGUUGCUCAACGCAGAAUUCUUUCAUGGCUGCAGAAAAUGCUCUACCUUGCAAUAUACUCUAAUUCUGGUACUUGAAGAUUUGUGUUUGUUUCUUGUACAUUCAGCUGUAACUUUUUAAAAUAGAAAAAAAGCACUGUUAUUUUUUUUCAACAUAUCCAUGUCCCUAUGAAUUUUUUGAGAGAGCUUUUCAAACCGGCCUCGUUUAUUAGAUUAUUGAGAAUGGAGGACCACUUCUCAUCCCUGAUGACUGCACAAAUCUCUGGACGUGUGUGCACAAUUUAUUGAUUUACUCGUUCACUUAGUGAUGCGGAUGUGUUAAUUUUUACAGUGUUCUGGAAGUUCCACCGAGAUGCCGUCGGCAUUGCUUUGCCUCGGAGCCCAGCCUCCUGCCGGGCGUGGUGCCACAGAGGUCCCGUGUGCCUUGCGGCUGGCGGCUCGUCGAGUCUGCUCCGAUGUGCAUCCGGCGAGAUAAUAUCUACUGACUGAUCACUUAAGAUCUAUCAGAUACUGUGCUGGGGAAUACAGCGGGUGCUAUGGAACUACAGUUUCCGUCUUCACAGAGCUACAGAUGAGCGGAGGAAGACCUACCAAGGAGCAGGUGUAAGAUGGAGCAAGAAGAGCCGUGAUGAGGAAGAACUCACGGCAGAACCCCAGCACGGAGUUCCCUGCCUCGUCUGAAACCUGAGGUCAGACACUGUGGAAGUACGUACUUCCUUUUUGAGAACCUCUGGUUUGUUUGCUUCUGCCCUGUGACAGCCUUCAUAGUCCCUAUCCGGAUAGACUCCAGCCACCUCCCUCUUUUUCCAGUUUGGCUUUCAGACUGCGGUGUUGGGUUCAGUAACAACGCUCCGCUGGCCCGUCUGCUACUGAGCAAUCAUCUCACCUGUUUCACGUUCACUCCCUGUCGCCCCGUGUGCUUGGCCACUAUGAGCCCGUCCCAUGCGAUCAAGCUCAGAUCUUCACACCCUUGGCUUAUGAGGCAUGCCUUGACUUCUACUAUUUUGCUGAGCAGAUUGAGGACAUCUGGGGAGAACUCCCUGAACCUUCCGCUCCCUGCACCGAAAUAUUUCUUCGUGGUUCCUUCUCUGCUUUUUCCCUCCUGUCAUAGAAAAAAAAUAAAAAGCAACUUCCUUUUUCAGACCUCA
Molecule: long non-coding RNA, 1253 nt
Organism: Felis catus (domestic cat)
Lineage: Eukaryota; Metazoa; Chordata; Mammalia; Carnivora; Felidae
Exons: 2
Source: RefSeq, a predicted model, not a curated record